UUCGCAAUGCCCGAAAGGGUGACGAAGCGACGCCGCGUGUGGGAAGAAGGCCUUCGGGUUGUAAACCACUGUCGGGAGUUAGGAAAUGUAAGGGUGCUAAUAGUAUCCUUACUUGACUAAGGCUCCGGAGGAAGCCACGGCUAACUCUGUGCCAGCAGCCGCGGUAAUACAGAGGCGGCGAGCGUUGUUCGGAAUUAUUGGGCGUAAAGAGCACGUAGGCGGCCUUGUAAGUCAGUUGUGAAAGCCUUCUGCUUAACGGAAGAACAGCAGCUGAUACUGCAAGGCUAGAGUGCGGAAGGGGAGAGUGGAACUUCUGGUGGAGCGGUGAAAUGCGUAGAUAUCAGAAGGAACACCGGCGGCGAAGGCGACUCUCUGGUCCGUAACUGACGCUGAGUGUGCGACAGCUAGGGGAGCAAACGGGAUUAGAUACCCCGGUAGUCCUAGCCGUAAAC
Molecule: ribosomal RNA, 452 nt
Filed under: uncultured bacterium
Lineage: Bacteria
Description: bacterial SSU rRNA
Rfam family: Bacterial small subunit ribosomal RNA
Source: RNAcentral